Molecule: long non-coding RNA, 308 nt
Filed under: Populus tremula
Lineage: Eukaryota; Viridiplantae; Streptophyta; Magnoliopsida; Malpighiales; Salicaceae
Description: long non-coding RNA (PTRE_LNC002351)
Source: RNAcentral
UUAACGAUUCCAGAUGAUCUCCACGAGUCAGGAAUGAGCUCUCAGUACCUCCUAUUAUUAUAUCAAAUUUCUCCAGCAACGAAUGGACUUUGAAGUCAUUUGAGUAUAUGCUCUAGUUAAUUCAUGUUGUCAGAUUAGAAGUUCUAAAUAACAGCAACUACGUUCACAAGCUUUAUCGAUUACACCAAAUGCCUUUGUAAUUCUCUGGGUUGGAAGUGCCUGUUCAACUAAGAGUGAUUGAGGUUGAUAGCAUGGCAGAUUUUAGAUGCUAAUAUAUUUAUCCCUUGAAUGCAUAUCUGUAAAAUAUA